UAUAGAAGCAAGGGAGCUACCAUCUUUAUCUGUGGGAGCUCCUCUCCUCUGGAAUGUGCUCACUGCUCUUGUCUGCCAGAACCUGGACCUGUUAACUUUCCAGACACUUGGCAAGGCUCCUUUUUAAUGGGAAUUUGGGAAGGAGAUAGGAUCAGGGUUCAAUCCUGAAGUGAUUGCUCAGAUCAAACAAGUAUUGAUGCAAAUGGAACUGCAGCCCUGUUUUUAGGUAAAAAACCCUAGGUCAGUAAAGACAAAGCCUAGGAGAGUCUCUGACCACACCAGUUCCAGUCCCCGUUCCUGUCAAAUCUGCAACCUGUGAAGCCAGUAUUGUUCCUCAGAAAGACAAAGCAGAGAGAGAUGAAG
Molecule: long non-coding RNA, 363 nt
Organism: Chelonia mydas (Green sea turtle)
Lineage: Eukaryota; Metazoa; Chordata; Testudines; Cheloniidae
Exons: 3
Source: RefSeq, a predicted model, not a curated record